Molecule: long non-coding RNA, 1134 nt
Filed under: Struthio camelus australis
Lineage: Eukaryota; Metazoa; Chordata; Aves; Struthioniformes; Struthionidae
Description: lncRNA (ENSSCUG00000014219.1)
Source: RNAcentral
CAUAAAACAAUAGGAAUUUCCAGAGUCCUGAUUAAAUUACUGGCGUCUGUUUCCCUUACGUUGGCCAACAGAAAGCGUUUCAUUAUGAAGGUAAGACGCUUCCUUGCCGUUGCCUGAAUUUCUUCCACAAAGCUUAGGGUUAUCAUUUGUCCACUCUUAAAGUGCCAGCACGGUUUUCUGAUAUCUGCUCUUUCAUUUCAAUUUAGACGUUUUUGAUGGCAUACUUGUCUUCUACAGGUUUAAAUUACAUACAAGCCAUGCGUUUGGAUGAGCAUGAGUUCUCUGGAACAGCAUAGUGCCUACUAUGUAGUUAGGAAAGCUUAGUCAUGUGGUUUCAGGAUUUGGAGGUUUCACUAUGGUCUGUUUUUGCUCUCUGUUCAAGCUCUAAUUCCCUUCUGCAGGCACCCCCCUCUCUGUGCAUAGCUGAAGCAAAAGCCAGAGUUUUGAUUUUAGUGAAGGCUGAAGCCUACUUAUUUUGUCAAGAAGUUGUAAGCGUGAUCGCUGCACUCCUGCCUUCCUUGCAAAGGACACCCCGGAGAGAGCAACAAAUAGAAAAAAAAGAGAGCUUCCCAGCACGAGGAACCCUGGGAUACUUAUCUGCGUGCUUGACCCAGUGCAAAAAUACUGACAGCCAGGCUGUGUUUUGGCCUCAGCAUGGCUCCUGGCUGCCUGGUCUGGGCUAUUUCAGUCUGCGAGGGUACUCUGCAAAGCGGAGAAAAGAAGCCAAGGAUGAAAAGGGAAAUGACUGGUCUACUGUUGCAUUGGGAGGCUGUGCUAGGACACAGAAGAUUCAGAAGAUUUAUCACUUCUUCUACCGAUAAGGGACAUUGCUUCUUUGAGUGAGUUUUCUUCGUGGCUUAAAAGAUUUACUGAUAUGUUGAAAUUCCCUGUACUGGAGAUUCAGAUGAACUUUGGAAACUUGUGAUAAGAACUAUAAAUCUGCUAUAAACUAGGAACCUAUUUUUCAAGGUGUGUAUUUAUUGACAGAGUUUGUACUAGUUUAUUCUUCUGCUUCUUGUUUGUGUGCAUCAGAAGAGGUUCUCUUUUCAACAGCAUGAACCAAUUAUAAAAACCAUAUUGUGGAUUGUACAGUAUAUAGGUAAAUUAUCAACAAAGAGGUAGUCUUUAUCAGAG